RNAcentral lists this ribosomal RNA (497 nucleotides) under uncultured bacterium. RNAcentral's name for it is "partial 16S ribosomal RNA". It matches the Rfam family "Bacterial small subunit ribosomal RNA", at positions 28 to 507 of the family's 1533-position model. The record is from RNAcentral.
GAUGAACGCUGGCGGCGUGCCUAAUACAUGCAAGUCGAGCGAACGGACGAGAAGCUUGCUUCUCUGAUGUUAGCGGCGGACGGGUGAGUAACACGUGGAUAACCUACCUAUAAGACUGGGAUAACUUCGGGAAACCGGAGCUAAUACCGGAUGAUAUUUUGAACCGCAUGGUUCAAAAGUGAAAGACGGUCUUGCUGUCACUUAUAGAUGGAUCCGCGCUGCAUUAGCUAGUUGGUAAGGUAACGGCUUACCAAGGCAACGAUGCAUAGCCGACCUGAGAGGGUGAUCGGCCACACUGGAACUGAGACACGGUCCAGACUCCUACGGGAGGCAGCAGUAGGGAAUCUCCCGCAAUGGGCGAAAGCCUGACGGAGCAACGCCGCGUGAGUGAUGAAGGUCUUCGGAUCGUAAAACUCUGUUAUUAGGGAAGAACAUAUGUGUAGGUAACUGUGCACAUCUUGACGGUACCUAAUCAGAAAGCCACGGCUAACUACGUG